This 501-nucleotide ribosomal RNA is filed under the name uncultured bacterium. RNAcentral's name for it is "partial 16S ribosomal RNA". It matches the Rfam family "Bacterial small subunit ribosomal RNA", at positions 30 to 523 of the family's 1533-position model. The record is from RNAcentral.
AUUGAACGCUGGCGGCAGGCUUAACACAUGCAAGUCGAGCGGGGGAAGGUAGCUUGCUACCGGACCUAGCGGCGGACGGGUGAGUAAUGCUUAGGAAUCUGCCUAUUAGUGGGGGACAACAUCUCGAAAGGGAUGCUAAUACCGCAUACGUCCUACGGGAGAAAGCAGGGGAUCUUUGGACCUUGCGCUAAUAGAUGAGCCUAAGUCGGAUUAGCUAGUUGGUGGGGUCAAGGCCUACCAAGGCGACGAUCUGUAGCGGGUCUGAGAGGAUGAUCCGCAACACUGGGACUGAGACACGGCCCAGACUCCUACGGGAGGCAGCAGUGGGGAAUAUUGGACAAUGGGGGGAACCCUGAUCCAGCCAUGCCGCGUGUGUGAAGAAGGCCUUAUGGUUGUAAAGCACUUUAAGCGAGGAGGAGGCUACUUUAGUUAAUACCUAGAGAUAGUGGACGUUACUCGCAGAAUAAGCACCGGCUAACUCUGUGCCAGCCGCCGCCGUAA